This 465-nucleotide ribosomal RNA is filed under the name uncultured Desulfocapsa sp. Its description in RNAcentral is "bacterial SSU rRNA". It matches the Rfam family "Bacterial small subunit ribosomal RNA", at positions 916 to 1382 of the family's 1533-position model. Lineage: Bacteria; Pseudomonadati; Thermodesulfobacteriota; Desulfobulbia; Desulfobulbales; Desulfocapsaceae. The record is from RNAcentral.
AGGGCCCGCACAAGCAGCGGAGCGUGUGGUUUAAUUCGAUGCUACACGAAGAACCUUACCAGGGUUUGACAUACAAGUAGUAGGAAAGGAGAGAGUGCCUCGCAAGAGGAGCCUGGUGACAGGUGCUGCAUGGCUGUCGUCAGCUCGUGUCGUGAGAUGUUGGGUUAAGUCCCGUAACGAGCGCAACCCCUAUCUUUAGUUGCCAUCAUUGAGUUGGGCACUCUAAAGAGACUGCCGGUGUCAAACCGGAGGAAGGUGGGGAUGACGUCAAGUCCUCAUGGCCUUUAUGACCAGGGCUACACACGUACUACAAUGGCCGGUACAAAGGGCAGCGACACAGCGAUGUGAAGCCAAUCCCGAAAAGCCGGUCUCAGUCCGGAUUGGAGUCUGCAACUCGACUCCAUGAAGUUGGAAUCGCUAGUAAUCGCGGAUCAGCACGCCGCGGUGAAUACGUUCCCGGGCCUU